RNAcentral lists this non-coding RNA (27 nucleotides) under Homo sapiens (human). Lineage: Eukaryota; Metazoa; Chordata; Mammalia; Primates; Hominidae. The record is from RNAcentral.
UGAGAGGAGCGCACGUACGUUGAGAGU